RNAcentral lists this long non-coding RNA (328 nucleotides) under Mytilus galloprovincialis (Mediterranean mussel). Lineage: Eukaryota; Metazoa; Mollusca; Bivalvia; Mytilida; Mytilidae. The record is from RNAcentral.
AACACAUUUUUGUCUAUACAUGUUCAUCUUUCUGUCUAUGUGUCUACAAGUUUGUCUUUAUUUUCACCAGUCCUUUAUAAUAGUCUGACUACAUUCUCAACAGUCUGGAUAUGUUUCCGCAAGUCUGUCUUUGUUCACUAGUCCGUCUACAUUUGCAUGAUCCAUCGGUCUGUCUAUGUGUCCACUAGUCUGUCUUCAUGCCCAACAGUCUGUCGACAUGGCUAUAUCGGUCUAUAUAUCUAACAAGCUGUGUCUUCAUGUCCAACAGUCUGUCGAAUCGACUGUCAGUUGAUCUAUAUGUCUACCAAGCUGUGUCUACAUGUCCAAC